Molecule: ribosomal RNA, 497 nt
Filed under: uncultured bacterium
Lineage: Bacteria
Description: partial 16S ribosomal RNA
Rfam family: Bacterial small subunit ribosomal RNA
Source: RNAcentral
GAUGAACGCUGGCGGCGUGCCUAAUACAUGCGAGUCGAGCGAACAGACGAGGAGCUUGCUCCUCUGACGUUAGCGGCGGACGGGUGAGUAACACGUGGAUAACCUACCUAUAAGACUGGGAUAACUUCGGGAAACCGGAGCUAAUACCGGAUAAUAUAUUGAACCGCAUGGUUCAAUAGUGAAAGACGGUUUUGCUGUCACUUAUAGAUGGAUCCGCGCCGCAUUAGCUAGUUGGUAAGGUAACGGCUUACCAAGGCGACGAUGCGUAGCCGACCUGAGAGGGUGAUCGGCCACACUGGAACUGAGACACGGUCCAGACUCCUACGGGAGGCAGCAGUAGGGAAUCUUCCGCAAUGGGCGAAAGCCUGACGGAGCAACGCCGCGUGAGUGAUGAAGGUCUUCGGAGCGUAAAACUCUGUUAUUAGGGAAGAACAAAUGUGUAAGUAACUAUGCACGUCUUGACGGUACCUAAUCAGAAAGCCACGGCUAACUACGUG